UUUCUGUUAUUUUGAUGAACUUUCAUUUGAGCAACAAUGUUUCUGAGGUUUAUAUUGAAGUUCACCAUUCCUUGUAUACUACAGAUCUGUGGAAGUUUAAAAAAUUACUACAUGUGUUGGUGUAUAAAAAAACAUUUACCGGUAUCUAACUCCUGUUAAUUUUCAGAAUCUAUUUUUGCUAAUUCAUUUCAACUUUUCUUCGUGGUUGA
RNAcentral lists this long non-coding RNA (209 nucleotides) under Mytilus galloprovincialis (Mediterranean mussel). Lineage: Eukaryota; Metazoa; Mollusca; Bivalvia; Mytilida; Mytilidae. The record is from RNAcentral.